ACGGGAGGCAGCAGUGAGGAAUAUUGGUCAAUGGGCGGAAGCCUGAACCAGCCAAGUCGCGUGAAGGAUGAAGGUAUUAUGUAUUGUAAACUUCUUUAGUCGCAGAGAAAUAAGGAUCUCGUGAGGUCUGAUGCUAGUAUGCGAAGAAUAAGGAUCGGCUAACUCCGUGCCAGCAGCCGCGGUAAUACGGAGGAUCCGAGCGUUAUCCGGAUUUAUUGGGUUUAAAGGGUGCGCAGGCGGUCUUUUAAGUCAGUGGUCAAAGCGCGGAGCUCAACUCCGUCCCGCCAUUGAUACUGGGAGACUUGAUUGCGGUCGAGGUUGGCGGAAUUCGUCGUGUAGCGGUGAAAUGCAUAGAUAUGACGAAGAACACCGAUUGCGUAGGCGGCUGACCAGGCCGUAAAUGACGCUCAUGCACGAAAGUGCGGGGAUCGAACAGGAUUAGAUACCCUGGUA
This 453-nucleotide ribosomal RNA is filed under the name uncultured Porphyromonadaceae bacterium. RNAcentral describes it as "partial 16S ribosomal RNA". It matches the Rfam family "Bacterial small subunit ribosomal RNA", at positions 341 to 792 of the family's 1533-position model. Lineage: Bacteria; Pseudomonadati; Bacteroidota; Bacteroidia; Bacteroidales; Porphyromonadaceae. The record is from RNAcentral.